CGCGUAGGUGGUAGUGUAAGUCUGGGGUGGAAUGCCGGGGCUUAACCCUGGAAUUGCCUUGGAAACUGCAUUACUUGAGUCAGUGAGGGGAGGGUAGAAUUCCUGGUGUAGCGGUGAAAUGCGUAGAUAUCAGGAGGAAGGCCUGUGGCGAAGGCGGCCCUCUGGCGCUGGACUGACACUGAGGCGCGAAAGCGUGGGGAGCAAACAGGAUUAGAUACCCUGGUAGUCCACGCCCUAAACGGUGGGCACUAGGUGUAGGGCUCGUAAGGGUUCUGUGCUGAAGGGAAACCAUUAAGUGCCCCGCCUGGGGAGUACGGCCGCAAGGUUGAA
This 330-nucleotide ribosomal RNA is filed under the name uncultured bacterium. RNAcentral describes it as "bacterial SSU rRNA". It matches the Rfam family "Bacterial small subunit ribosomal RNA", at positions 568 to 898 of the family's 1533-position model. The record is from RNAcentral.